This 868-nucleotide ribosomal RNA is filed under the name uncultured archaeon. Its description in RNAcentral is "bacterial SSU rRNA". It matches the Rfam family "Archaeal small subunit ribosomal RNA", at positions 1 to 878 of the family's 1478-position model. The record is from RNAcentral.
CUCCGGUUGAUCCCGCCGGACCCGACUGCUAUCAGAGUGGGACUAAGCCAUGCGAGUCAACGUAGCAAUACGUGGCAUACGGCUCAGUAACACGUAGUCAACAUGCCCAGGGGACGAGGAUAACCUCGGGAAACUGAGGAUAAACCUCGAUAGGCCAUGAUUUCUGGAAUGAUUCUUGGCUCAAACCUAUAUGGCCCCUGGAUUGGACUGCGGCCGAUCAGGCUGUUGGUGAGGUAAUGGCCCACCAAACCUAUUACCGGUACGGGCUCUGAGAGGAGGAGCCCGGAGAUGGGCACUGAGACAAGGGCCCAGGCCCUAUGGGGCGCAGCAGGCGCGAAACCUCUGCAAUAGGCGAAAGCUUGACAGGGUUACUCUGAGUGAUUUCCGCUAAGGGAAUCUUUUGGCACCUCUAAAAAUGGUGCAGAAUAAGGGGUGGGCAAGUCUGGUGUCAGCCGCCGCGGUAAUACCAGCACCCCGAGUGGUCGGGACGAUUAUUGGGCCUAAAGCAUCCGUAGCCGGUCCUGCAAGUCUUCCGUUAAAUCCAGCUGCUCAACAGAUGGGCUGCGGGAGAUACUACAGGGCUAGGAGGCGGGAGAGGCAAGCGGUACUUUAUGGGUAGGGGUAAAAUCCGCUGAUCCAUAGAAGACCACCAGUGGCGAAGGCGGCUUGCCAGAACGCGCUCGACGGUGAGGGAUGAAAGCUGGGGGAGCAAACCGGAUUAGAUACCCGGGUAGUCCCAGCUGUAAACGAUGCAGACUCGGUGAUGGGUUGGCCUCGCGCCUGCCCAGUGCCGCAGGGAAGCCGUUAAGUCUGCCGCCUGGGGAGUACGGUCGCAAGACUGAAACUUAAAGGGAUUGGCGGGGGAGCA